RNAcentral lists this ribosomal RNA (442 nucleotides) under uncultured eukaryote. RNAcentral describes it as "bacterial SSU rRNA". It matches the Rfam family "Eukaryotic small subunit ribosomal RNA", at positions 1137 to 1508 of the family's 1831-position model. The record is from RNAcentral.
AGAAAACUUAAAGGAAUUGACGGAAGGCACCACCAGGUGUGGAGCUUGCGGCUUAAUUUGACUCAACACGGGGAAUCUUACCAGGUCCAGAAAGCGUGAGGAUUGACAGACUGAAAGAUCUUUCAUGAUUCGUUUGUGGGUGGUGCAUGGCCGUUUUUAGUUGGUGGCUUGAGUUGUCUGGCUGAUUCCGAUAACGAACGAGACCCUCGUCGCAUAAUAGAAGGCGUCAUUGAAUUGAUCAAAAGGCGGUAGUGUUCACUUUAAUUGGAAAACCAAGCAAUUGGUCCCAGCUAAAUUGUUGAAUACACGUUUCAAGAUGGCGAAAAAAAAAUUAAAAUUACUUCUAUGCGAGACAAAUUGGAAAAACCAAUUGGAAGCUGGGGGCUAGAACAGGUCUGUGAUGCCCUUCGAAGUUCUGGGCCGCACGCGUGCUACAAUGAUG